GACGAACGCUGGCGGCGUGCCUAAUACAUGCAAGUCGAACGAGUGGCGGACGGGUGAGUAACACGUGGGAACCUACCCGUCAGAGGGGGAUAACACUUGGCAACAGGUGCUAAUACCGCAUAGAUGGAUGGACCCGCGGUGCAUUAGCUAGGGGGUGGGGUAACGGCUCACCUAGGCGACGAUCCCUAGCUGGGCUGAGAGGAUGACCAGCCACACGGGAACUGAGACACGGUCCAGACUCCUACGGGAGGCAGCAGUGGGGAAUAUUGCACAAUGGGCGCAAGCCUGAUGCAGCCAUGCCGCGGGUGUGAAGAAGGCCUUCGGGUUGUAAAGCACUUUCAGCGGGGAGGCGUUACCCGCAGAAGAAGCACCGGCUAACUCCGUGCCAGCAGCCGCGGUAAUAC
Molecule: ribosomal RNA, 404 nt
Filed under: uncultured bacterium
Lineage: Bacteria
Description: partial 16S ribosomal RNA
Rfam family: Bacterial small subunit ribosomal RNA
Source: RNAcentral